Molecule: non-coding RNA, 44 nt
Filed under: Schistosoma mattheei
Lineage: Eukaryota; Metazoa; Platyhelminthes; Trematoda; Strigeidida; Schistosomatidae
Source: RNAcentral
AUCCAGCUGAAGAAUUCCAAAUAAACGAAACGCGCGUCCUGGAU